GGGGCUGGGGCUCAGCGGUAGAGUGCUCACCUAGCAUGUGUGAGGCCCUGAGUUCGAUCCUCAGCACCA
This 69-nucleotide transfer RNA is filed under the name Ictidomys tridecemlineatus (thirteen-lined ground squirrel). RNAcentral's name for it is "Spermophilus tridecemlineatus (thirteen-lined ground squirrel) tRNA". It matches the Rfam family "tRNA". Rfam says of the family: Transfer RNA (tRNA) molecules are approximately 80 nucleotides in length. Their secondary structure includes four short double-helical elements and three loops (D, anti-codon, and T loops). The record is from Rfam by way of RNAcentral. Lineage: Eukaryota; Metazoa; Chordata; Mammalia; Rodentia; Sciuridae.